This 870-nucleotide ribosomal RNA is filed under the name uncultured archaeon. Its description in RNAcentral is "bacterial SSU rRNA". It matches the Rfam family "Archaeal small subunit ribosomal RNA", at positions 1 to 852 of the family's 1478-position model. The record is from RNAcentral.
UUCCGGUUGAUCCUGCCGGACCCCACUGCUAUCGAGAUGGGACUAAGGUAUGCUAGUCGAACGACCAGAACUAUGUCUGGAAGUGGCACACUGCUCAGUAACACGUAGCUAACCUACCCUUAGGACGUGGAUACCCCCGAGAAAUUGGGGUUAAUCCGCGAUAGGUGUAAUGUCCUGGAAUGGUAUUACGCCUAAAGGUGUAUCAUACAUGUUUGAUAUACGCCUAAGGAUGGGGCUGCGGCCUAUCAGGCUGUUGGUGAGGUAAUGGCUCACCAAACCUUUGACCGGUACGGGCCAUGAGAGUGGUAGCCCGGAGAUGGACACUGAGACAAGGGUCCAGGCCCUAAGGGGCGCAGCAACCGCGAAACCUCCACAAUGCACUCACGUGCGAUGGGGCUAUCUCGAGUGCCACCUGAUGAAGGUGGCUUUUCCUAGGUCUUCAAAGCCUUGGGAAUAAGAGGGGGGCAAGACUGGUGUCAGCCGCCGCGGUAACACCAGCCCCUCGAGUGGUGGGGAUGAUUAUUUGGCCUAAAGCGUCCGUAGCCGGCCGAGCAAGUCUUCCGUUAAAUCCAGCGUCUCAAGCGUUGGACUGCGGGAGAUACUACACGGCUAGAGAGUGGGAGAGGUCAGCGGUAUUCUGGGGGUAGGGGCGAAAUCCUUUGAUCCCCGGAGGACCACCAGUGGCGAAGGCUGCUGACUAGAACACGUCUGACGGUCAGGGACGAAAGCUGGGGUAGCGAACCGGAUUAGAUACCCGGGUAGUCCCAGCCGUAAACGAUGCAUGCUAGGUGUUGGGUUGGCCACGAGCCACCCCAGUGCCGCAGGGAAGCCGUUAAGCAUGCCGCCUGGGAAGUACGAUCGCAAGAUUGA